UGAGAGAGUGGACGGCCACAUUGGGACUGAGACACGGCCCAGACUCCUGCGGGAGGCAGCAGUGGGGAAUAUUGCACAAUGGGGGGAACCCUGAUGCAGCAAUGCCGCGUGGGUGAAGAAGCACUCCGGUGCGUAAAGCCCUGUCAGCAGGGAAGAAAAUGACAGUACCUGGACAAGAAGCCCCGGCUAACUACGUGCCAGCAGCCGCGGUAAUACGUAGGGGGCAAGCGUUAUCCGGAUUUACUGGGUGUAAAGGGAGCGCAGGCGGCGUGGCAAGUCAGAUGUGAAAACCCGGGGCCCAACCCCGGGAGUGCAUUUGAAACUGCCAUGCUGGAGUGCCGGAGAGGUAAGCGGAAUUCCUAGUGUAGCGGUGAAAUGCGUAGAUAUUAGGAGGAACACCAGUGGCGGAGGCGGCUUACUGGACGGUAACUGACGCUGAGGCUCGAAAGCGUGGGGAGCAAACAGGAUUAGAUACCCUGGUAGUCCACGCCGUA
This 494-nucleotide ribosomal RNA is filed under the name uncultured bacterium. Its description in RNAcentral is "bacterial SSU rRNA". It matches the Rfam family "Bacterial small subunit ribosomal RNA", at positions 293 to 804 of the family's 1533-position model. The record is from RNAcentral.